Molecule: transfer RNA, 72 nt
Filed under: Ornithorhynchus anatinus (platypus)
Lineage: Eukaryota; Metazoa; Chordata; Mammalia; Monotremata; Ornithorhynchidae
Rfam family: tRNA
About the family: Transfer RNA (tRNA) molecules are approximately 80 nucleotides in length. Their secondary structure includes four short double-helical elements and three loops (D, anti-codon, and T loops).
Source: Rfam by way of RNAcentral
AGCAGUGUGUCUUAGUGGAAAGAGCCUGGGCUUGGGAGUCAGAGGGCGUUGGUUCUAAUCCCACUUCUGCCA